UCUACGGCCAUACCACCCUGAAUGCGCCCAAUCUUGUCUGAUCUCGGAAGCUAAGCAGGGUCGGGCCUGGUUAGUACUUGGAUGGGAGAGAACCAGAAAUACAGUAAGAA
Molecule: ribosomal RNA, 110 nt
Filed under: Octodon degus (degu)
Lineage: Eukaryota; Metazoa; Chordata; Mammalia; Rodentia; Octodontidae
Source: RNAcentral